RNAcentral lists this unclassified non-coding RNA (22 nucleotides) under Dictyostelium discoideum. Lineage: Eukaryota; Evosea; Eumycetozoa; Dictyosteliales; Dictyosteliaceae. The record is from RNAcentral.
UCUCUCAUACAUCAAUCGCCAU